GCAGUAAUGUGCAGUCAGAAGACUAAGUUCCACAUCAACAGUGCUUAAUUUAGCGGAACACUGGAAUGAUCUCAUAGCUGAACACUGGAAUCAUCUCGCCAGCAUUAAAAAUUACUGAUGCCUGCCUGGGUCCUACGUACAGAGACUCUGAUUCAAUGGGUCUGGGAAGUGGCCCUGGCAUUGGGAUUUUUUUAAGUUCCUUCAGUGUAUCUGGUACGUUGCAAAGAUUGAGAACAACUCUUCUACAUGAAAUACUAUAAGUUCUACAAGGACAAGAAUUUUGUCUGCUUUGUCCAGUGAGCCUGAACCAGUGCCUGGCACAUAGGAGAUAAUAAAUCAAUAUCUAUCUAAUUAGUUGUUAUCAGAAGGAUUUUUCAUCUGAAAUGGGCAUUCUCAUCUUUCACUGAAAGUUAAACUGUCUUCCAAGGAAGAGAUGAAGAAACAAAUUCUCAGCUACUUUGGCAUAUCUGCAAAAGCCUGAAAGCUCUGUCAAAUAUUCAGCACAAUAAUUCUGCAACACUUCAGAUGGUCACCUAAACCUGCCAAUAGAUCUGCUUUGACCAGCUACUCAGGUUGAGCAGAAACUUUUAACUCUCAACCUCCAAGAUAAUAAAUGUUAAUGAGAUGAUAAUUUACUCCCUUGAAUUGUCAUUUAAAACAUUCUUUGAUCCUCUUCCCUUCAUGGGGGAGGGGGGAACCACAUCCCCUUUUUUUGAAUCUGGGUAGGUUUACAGUCCAACAGAGUACAACAGAGAUGAUGCUGUGAGACAUCUGAGGCUAUUAUAAAGACCAUGUGACUUCUUUAUUGUUCACUGUAGCGCUUGUUCUUGAAACCCUGAGCUGCCAUAUAAGAAAUUCUACUAGCCAGAGGCCUCCAUACUGGAAGGCCAUGUAUAGAUGUGCCUGUUCACAGUCCCACUGGAGUGUACCUUCCAGCUUUCCUCAGGAAAGAAACAGAAACUAGAAGAACCCUUCUUGGACCUUACAGAUUGAACAUCUGCCAGUUGAAUACCAAUAAACAACCUUUGUCAACAAUACAUGGAACAGAAGAAUCACCUAUGCAAGCCCCACUCAAGUUCUUUACCCAUAAAGUCAUGAUAUAAUGAUACGGUUAUUGUAAACCCUACAACGUGCUUACAAGUGUUUGUUGCCUGAAACAGACAAGUGAAACAACAACUCUGCAAAUACAAUUAAAUUAUCAGUAAUUCCAUAAUCUUAUAAUUAUAGUUUCUUAGUAAAAAUAUUAUUUUCUUUAUGAAUAUGUAAAUUGACUAAGUGAGUUUCCUAAUGUGAAAGAGUCUAAAAGGGAAUCUCAACAUGCUGACUGGUAUUUUAUGAGUCUACAUUUGAGGAAUGUCUGUCCAUUGCCAAUACAACUUUUUAAUAUGACAUGAAGUGGUGGGAAGACGAUGGACUACAAGUCUGGGUUCUGGUCUUACUUCUGCCACUUUGUAGCUAUGAGACCUUUGCUAAAUCUUUUAACUUCUCUAAGCCACAGUUUUGUCAUCUACGAAAUAAAAUAAUAGUAUUCUGUCCUACUUACCUAACGUAGUGGUAGAAAAGAUCAGAUGAAAUAAUGAGCAUGAAAAUGGCUUUAAAUGUAAAGUACAGUGCAAGUGCAUGGACUUAGUAUUGUCACGUGAUGUUAACCACUAUGAAAUUUUAACAAUGGUUUCCAUGUUGUCAGAUUCCAUGGCCGCAUCUCUGAUCUCACCUUCUUCAUCCCCUGGGUAGCAGCAUUUGCCACUGGUGACCAGUCCCUCUCUCAGUAGCCUUUUCAUACCCUUGGCUUCCUUUUUUUGUUGUUUUUUGUUUGUUUGUUUUUUGAGACGGAUCUCGCUCUGUCACCCAGGCUGGAGUGCAGUGGUGCAAUCUCAGCUCACUGCAACCUCCAUCUCUAGGUUCAAGAGAUUCUCCUGCCUCGGCCUCCCAAGUAGCUGAGAUUACAGGCACAUGCCAACAUGUUCAGCUAAUUUUUGUAUUUUUAAUAGAGACGGGGUUUCACCACGUUGGCCAGGCUGGUCUCGAACUCCUGACCUCAGGUGAUCUGCCAGUCUCAGCCUCCCAAAGUGCUGGGAUUACAGGCAUGAGCCACCGUGCCCGGCCAUCCUUGGUCUCCUUGACACUUGGUUUCUUCCCAGCUCAGAGGUCAGUCCUCUGUUUUAUUUGCACACCUGUCUUCUUCUUUCAGAUCUGUUAAUACUGGAACAACCCAAUGCUUGGCCCAGUGGCCCUCCAUUCUUCUCUGUCUGUAUUCUCUCCCCUAAGAGAUCUCAUCCAGGACAAUGACAUUAAAUAACAAUGAUAUUCUGAUAACUCUCAGAAGCAUGCCUCCCACUUUGGCUUCUCCACUGAACUCCAGACUUAAGUAUCCAACUGCAUGGACAACACUGCCACUUGGCUGUCUAAAAACUAUCUUGUACUUAAAUGGGAACUACUGAUUCCCUCCUGCUGCUCCAAAUACACUAGUUUCGGUUUUCGCCAUCUCCAUAACUUGAACUUACAGUCAGGGCCCCUGCAUGGUAUUGUGCAAGUUAUGAAGAAUGCAACCUACACAGCAUUCUACGGCACCCCUGCUUUAAUUCAUGGAACUGCUCACACCAAAACCACAGGUAUUAUUCCUGAGUUCUCUUAUAACCUGACUGUUGACAUAACUCUAAAUUCUCCAAACAACUCUGCUGCCAUCCCAGUUCAAGCUCUCAUCUUCAUCCUGGGCCAGUGCAACACUUCACAAACAGGCUUCCCGCUGAUACCCCUCGUCCCUCUUAACAUCCAUUUUCCACCCAGCAGUAAGAAUAACUUUUAUUAUAAAAAGAGAUCGUGCCUUUUUCAGUGGCUCGAAAUCCUCCAAUGGUUUCCUGGUACACUCAAAAUAAAACCCAAGCUUCUCAUCUUGGCCUGCAAGACCUGUAACGGCCUGGCCCCAGCCAACUCUGCAGCUGCACCCCAUGGCACUGUCCCCUCAGUCACUCCAUUCAUCCUGGCCACUUUCUGCUCCUUGAAUAUGACACAUCACCAUAUUUUUUUAUAAUACAUUCCAGAGCUAGCCAAGAAUGGGGGGAAAAAAUAAAAGUAGUAUACCUUCAUGUUACUGAAGUUCCUUUUGUAUCUAUCUCGUUUCUGGAAGAGGGAAGUUGCCAGUGGAGAGACUUCCAGACCCAUCUGGGCCAUGCACUCUGUUUCUCUAAAUAAGAUUAAUAUCUGAGGGUCAAAGUUUACAAACAAUUCCCCUGUGCCUGGAGCCUUCACCAAUAAUGAAGCCUCAAGACCUACAUGAAUUUCUUCAAUCUGUGGGAAGAAACCAACAUCAUUACUAUCAGAAAGUUCAAUUCAUGCAGAGUAUCUAGCUCAGCUAUCUCUAGGAAUAAGGAUCAUUAAAUGUUCUUCCAUGGAUUUGAGCUUCCUAAAUUAAGGGCAAUAAGAUCACUCACUCUUCUCCUAAAUCCAGUCUCAUACAAUAGCCUUCAAGUUCUUGGUGUUGAUGUUGGGCAGUCAAUUCAAUAAAACCUUUCAAUGACUCUAACACUGAUAAAUAAGUGGACACUGCAACAGUGGUGGCGUCUCAAAAGCCAUUUAGCUACCUGAUACCUUCAUGCCUACUCUAUUAUUCUUCCUAAUAAAAGUUUCGUAAGACCUCCUAAACUCAGUUUUUACUUAUCUAGAAAAACAAUGAACACAGCUAUGGAGACAUCGCAUCCUGACAGCCUACAAAGAAAUACAUGUAUUGGUAGGAUAUGCUAUGAUUAACCAGUUGUACAACAAAAGAAAAUUUGAAACUUUGUUUAACAGAUGUGCUAGUGUUUACUGACAUAUUUAGGAUCUGACUGAAUUUUAAAAAGCAAGAUAUCCUAAUAGAUUGGGCAUAGGAACCAAUAAACAAGAUCUUCUCACUUUGGAGUUCGUAAAUUAAAU
This is a long non-coding RNA of Homo sapiens (human), 3912 nucleotides long. The record is from Ensembl. Lineage: Eukaryota; Metazoa; Chordata; Mammalia; Primates; Hominidae.